This 1326-nucleotide ribosomal RNA is filed under the name Burkholderia sp. RNAcentral's name for it is "bacterial SSU rRNA". It matches the Rfam family "Bacterial small subunit ribosomal RNA", at positions 87 to 1415 of the family's 1533-position model. The record is from RNAcentral. Lineage: Bacteria; Pseudomonadati; Pseudomonadota; Betaproteobacteria; Burkholderiales; Burkholderiaceae.
UGCGCGUANUGGCGAACGGGUGAGUAAUACAUCGGAACGUGUCCUGUAGUGGAGGGAUAGCCCGGCGAAAGCCGGAUUAAUACCGCAUACGCUCUACGGAGGAAAGGGGGGGAUCUUAGGACCUCUCGCUACAGGGGCGGCCGAUGGCAGAUUAGCUAGUUGGUGGGGUAAAGGCCUACCAAGGCGACGAUCUGUAGCUGGUCUGAGAGGACGACCAGCCACACUGGGACUGAGACACGGCCCAGACUCCUACGGGAGGCAGCAGUGGGGAAUUUUGGACAAUGGGGGCAACCCUGAUCCAGCAAUGCCGCGUGUGUGAAGAAGGCCUUCGGGUUGUAAAGCACUUUUGUCCGGAAAGAAAACCUUUGCCCUAAUACGGUGGGGGGAUGACGGUACCGGAAGAAUAAGCACCGGCUAACUACGUGCCAGCAGCCGCGGUAAUACGUAGGGUGCAAGCGUUAAUCGGAAUUACUGGGCGUAAAGCGUGCGCAGGCGGUCCGCUAAGACAGAUGUGAAAUCCCCGGGCUUAACCUGGGAACUGCAUUUGUGACUGGCGGGCUAGAGUAUGGCAGAGGGGGGUAGAAUUCCACGUGUAGCAGUGAAAUGCGUAGAGAUGUGGAGGAAUACCGAUGGCGAAGGCAGCCCCCUGGGCCAAUACUGACGCUCAUGCACGAAAGCGUGGGGAGCAAACAGGAUUAGAUACCCUGGUAGUCCACGCCCUAAACGAUGUCAACUAGUUGUUGGGGAUUCAUUUCCUUAGUAACGAAGCUAACGCGUGAAGUUGACCGCCUGGGGAGUACGGUCGCAAGAUUAAAACUCAAAGGAAUUGACGGGGACCCGCACAAGCGGUGGAUGAUGUGGAUUAAUUCGAUGCAACGCGAAAAACCUUACCUACCCUUGACAUGUAUGGAACCUGGCUGAAAGGUCGGGGUGCCCGAAAGGGAGCCAUAACACAGGUGCUGCAUGGCUGUCGUCAGCUCGUGUCGUGAGAUGUUGGGUUAAGUCCCGCAACGAGCGCAACCCUUGUCCCUAGUUGCUACGCAAGAGCACUCUAGGGAGACUGCCGGUGACAAACCGGAGGAAGGUGGGGAUGACGUCAAGUCCUCAUGGCCCUUAUGGGUAGGGCUUCACACGUCAUACAAUGGUCGGAACAGAGGGUCGCCAACCCGCGAGGGGGAGCCAAUCCCAGAAAACCGAUCGUAGUCCGGAUCGCACUCUGCAACUCGAGUGCGUGAAGCUGGAAUCGCUAGUAAUCGCGGAUCAGCAUGCCGCGGUGAAUACGUCCCGGGUCUUGUACACACCGCCCGUCACACCAUGGGAGUGGGU